RNAcentral lists this ribosomal RNA (484 nucleotides) under uncultured bacterium. RNAcentral's name for it is "partial 16S ribosomal RNA". It matches the Rfam family "Bacterial small subunit ribosomal RNA", at positions 30 to 507 of the family's 1533-position model. The record is from RNAcentral.
AUUGAACGCUGGCGGCAGGCCUAACACAUGCAAGUCGAGCGGAUGAAGGGAGCUUGCUCCUGGAUUCAGCGGCGGACGGGUGAGUAAUGCCUAGGAAUCUGCCUGGUAGUGGGGGAUAACGUCCGGAAACGGGCGCUAAUACCGCAUACGUCCUGAGGGAGAAAGUGGGGGAUCUUCGGACCUCACGCUAUCAGAUGAGCCUAGGUCGGAUUAGCUAGUUGGUGGGGUAAAGGCCUACCAAGGCGACGAUCCGUAACUGGUCUGAGAGGAUGAUCAGUCACACUGGAACUGAGACACGGUCCAGACUCCUACGGGAGGCAGCAGUGGGGAAUAUUGGACAAAGGGCGAAAGCCUGAUCCAGCCAUGCCGCGUGUGUGAAGAAGGUCUUCGGAUUGUAAAGCACUUUAAGUUGGGAGGAAGGGCAGUAAGUUAAUACCUUGCUGUUUUGACGUUACCAACAGAAUAAGCACCGGCUAACUUAGUG